Molecule: ribosomal RNA, 273 nt
Filed under: uncultured bacterium
Lineage: Bacteria
Description: partial 16S ribosomal RNA
Rfam family: Bacterial small subunit ribosomal RNA
Source: RNAcentral
GACAGAGGUGCCGAGCGUUAGGCGGAAUCACUGGGCUUAAAGCGUGUGUAGGCGGACUCGUAAGUGCCUUGUGAAAUCCCACGGCUCACCCGUGGAACUGCUUGGCAUACUGCGAGCCUUGAGCCACUUAGGGGCAACCGGAACAAACGGUGGAGCGGUGAAAUGCGUAGAUAUCGUUUGGAACGCCAAUGGUGAAAACAGGUUGCUGGGAGUGCGCUGACGCUGAGACACGAAAGCCAGGGGAGCAAACGGGAUUAGAAACCCCCGUAGUCC